GGGUUCUACCGUUGGUCGGGCUAACCAGUCUGUACUAGCGUGUAAAAUUCCUACCUUCUGGAGAACCAUCAUGUUAUUAAUUUAGCGUGGUGGGAAACCAGGACCUUUACCUUGAAAAAAUUAGAGUGUUCAAAGCAGGCUUACGUCUGAAUACAUUAGCAUGGAAUAAUAGAAUAGGACGGUGGUCCUGUUUUGUUGGUUUCUGAAUCACCGUA
This 215-nucleotide non-coding RNA is filed under the name Campeiostachys nutans. Its description in RNAcentral is "Elymus nutans partial small subunit ribosomal RNA". The stretch from base 41 to 215 matches the Rfam family "Eukaryotic small subunit ribosomal RNA", at positions 686 to 863 of the family's 1831-position model. Lineage: Eukaryota; Viridiplantae; Streptophyta; Magnoliopsida; Poales; Poaceae. The record is from RNAcentral. RNAcentral also lists the same sequence under 1 other name.